RNAcentral lists this ribosomal RNA (1171 nucleotides) under Methanothermococcus sp. Mc-1-55. RNAcentral describes it as "bacterial SSU rRNA". It matches the Rfam family "Archaeal small subunit ribosomal RNA", at positions 22 to 1202 of the family's 1478-position model. The record is from RNAcentral. Lineage: Archaea; Methanobacteriati; Methanobacteriota; Methanococci; Methanococcales; Methanococcaceae.
GGCCACUGCUAUUGGGGUUCGACUAAGCCAUGCGAGUCUAUGGACUUCGGUCCAUGGCGGACGGCUCAGUAACACGUGGCUAACCUACCCUCAGGUGGGGGAUAACCUUGGGAAACUGAGGAUAAUACCCCAUAGGGGAAGAGGUCUGGAAUGAUCCUUCCCUGAAAGGACAUCCGCCUGAGGAUGGGGCUGCGUCCGAUUAGGUAGUUGGUGGGGUAAUGGCCCACCAAGCCUACGAUCGGUACGGGCCUUGAGAGAGGAAGCCCGGAGAUGGGGACUGAGACACGGCCCCAGGCCCUACGGGGCGCAGCAGGCGCGAAACCUCCACAAUGCACGAAAGUGCGAUGGGGGGACCCCAAGUGCCUAUGCACAGCAUAGGCUUUUCCCAAGUGUAAACAGCUUGGGGAAUAAGGGCUGGGCAAGUCCGGUGCCAGCAGCCGCGGUAACACCGGCGGCCCGAGUGGUGGCCACUCUUAUUGGGCCUAAAGCGUCCGUAGCCGGUCCAGUAAGUCCCUGUUUAAAUCCUACGGCUUAACUGUAGGGCUGGCAGGGAUACUGCUGGACUUGGGACCGGGAGAGGACGAGGGUACUCCAGGGGUAGCGGUGAAAUGCGUUGAUCCCUGGAGGACCACCUAUGGCGAAGGCACUCGUCUGGAACGGGUCCGACGGUGAGGGACGAAAGCCAGGGGCGCGAACCGGAUUAGAUACCCGGGUAGUCCUGGCCGUAAACUCUGCGGACUAGGUGCCACCUGGGCCUUGGGCCCAGGUGGUGCCGAAGGGAAGCCAUUAAGUCCGCCGCCUGGGGAGUACGGUCGCAAGACUGAAACUUAAAGGAAUUGGCGGGGGAGCACCACAACGGGUGGAGCCUGCGGUUUAAUUGGAUUCAACGCCGGGCAUCUCACCAGGGGCGACAGCAUGAUGACGGUCAGGUUGACGACCUUACCUGAAGCGCUGAGAGGUGGUGCAUGGCCAUCGUCAGCUCGUACCGCGAGGCGUCCUGUUAAGUCAGGUAACGAGCGAGACCCGUGCCCUAUGUUGCGACUUCUUCCUCCGGGGAGAAGGCACUCAUAGGGGACCGCUGGUGUUAAACCAGAGGAAGGAGCGGGCAACGAUAGGUCCGCAUGCCCGAAUCCCUGGGCUACACGCGGGCUACAAUGGUUGGGACAAUGGG